ACAGUGAUAACCUAACACUCUUCGUUAACAGAUUAGGCUCACGAAACCUCCCUCCUCUGCUAAUCUUAUUGCCUCUCACAACAAGUCCCUGUCACCAGUAGCUCCCUCUACAGGUGAAUGUGUGCGAUCAGACUGUACUGUCCGUGUGACCAAGUGUAUAGACAGUGUGAUCGGCUGGUGCUCGGCCAGGCAGAACUGCGACGGUGUGUCCACACUCACCUAGGGCCAGCGAAGUGUGGCAUUGUCCUCAACACCAUGGGAUACACAAGUGGUGCAGGAGGUGAUGUGAGGGUGAGGAGAGGAGGUCCCAGCUGCCACUGCCACAGACCUCACUGUAGCAUACAGGAGUGAUGAGCACUGCAGAAAGAAAUGACACACUGAGGUACACGGUCCAACACAGUCACGGAGUAUCCCUUGUCCAGUAGCACGCGAACAACACUUCCACGGAGUACAAGCAAGUCAACAGGGGGACAAUCUAACCAAGAAUGACUUCACGUCCACCGAACACUUAAUAUGAGCAGACUCUUGUUGCAUGUUGCCACUGGUCCCAACAUGCCACAGGGGACUAAACCCAAACCGCUCCAUCACUGAGGGGAAUGUGAGGAUUAGCUUAAUUAACUUCUACAGCUACUAAUCCCAUCAAACAAUGGCCUGGUACAAGCAGCCUAAAUGAGCAGAGAUUUCAUUAUUUCAAUGGAGCAUUGUCCUGACUUAAUAAGGUAAUUAAGUAACAGUUGUUUUCAAUCUGGAUAAUUGAUCUGAUUCUGUGGUUGCUGGCAGCAUGCGGUGUGACAAUCACACAGUGGACUGUGUACUGAUUACCCCAUCAGCAAAAGCAGGGAGACUGGCCUGUCUUAGACAUACAGAAUACUACGGUAAUAACAAAUUCAAAGUGACUGCGAAUUUAGUUGCUAUAAACGAAGUUCGUUUUAAGCAGUUUAUUCAGCAAAUGGCCUGGACAACGAAAAUAACAGUUUGUUAUAUCCGUCAGUUCAUUAUAAGCAUGUUCCUUAUAAACAUACUUUACAGUAAUGAAAUAGAUGCUAGAAGUACAGACAUGCCUAGGGUUUCACACAGUCAAUUCAAAGAGGGAAACUAGUAAGUUAACCAUAUCUCACAGUACCAGUCUGUGUCUGAUCAGUGUUUGAAAUAAUUUUAAAACCCAACAAGUCAGAAGGGCAUGUGCCCAUCUUCAAAGUUACCUGCCCGCAUUCAGACAUUAUAAAUAUUGAAAAGUCGCAUAAAAUUUGACAAAUCGUGUCUUGUUUCAGUAGAAAUAAUGCAAUCAAUUACUUGAGAAUAUAUGACGAAUUAUAAUAAAACUAAAUACGUAAGUAGUCUUA
This is a long non-coding RNA of Haliotis rufescens (red abalone), 1343 nucleotides long. RefSeq lists it as uncharacterized. Lineage: Eukaryota; Metazoa; Mollusca; Gastropoda; Lepetellida; Haliotidae. The record is from RefSeq and is a predicted model, not a curated record. The transcript is spliced from 2 exons.